RNAcentral lists this ribosomal RNA (253 nucleotides) under uncultured bacterium. RNAcentral's name for it is "partial 16S ribosomal RNA". It matches the Rfam family "Bacterial small subunit ribosomal RNA", at positions 524 to 776 of the family's 1533-position model. RNAcentral also lists the same sequence under 1 other name. The record is from RNAcentral.
UACGUAGGGGGCAAGCGUUGUCCGGAUUUACUGGGCGUAAAGAGCGUGUAGGCGGCCAGGCAGGUCUGUUGUGAAAACUGGAGGCUCAACUUCCAGACGUCGACAGAAACCGCUUGGCUAGAGUCCGGAAGAGGAGAGUGGAAUUCCUGGUGUAGCGGUGAAAUGCGCAGAUAUCAGGAAGAACACCGAUGGCGAAGGCAGCUCUCUGGGACGGUACUGACGCUGAGACGCGAAAGCGUGGGGAGCGAACAGG